UACGGGGGGGGCAAGCGUUGUUCGGAAUUACUGGGCGUAAAGAGCUCGUAGGCGGUCUGUCGCGUCGGCUGUGAAAUCUCGGGGCUCAACCCCGAGCCUGCAGUCGAUACGGGCAGACUAGAGUGCUGUAGGGGAGACUGGAAUUCCUGGUGUAGCGGUGAAAUGCGCAGAUAUCAGGAGGAACACCGGUGGCGAAGGCGGGUCUCUGGGCAGUAACUGACGCUGAGGAGCGAAAGCGUGGGGAGCGAACAGG
Molecule: ribosomal RNA, 253 nt
Filed under: uncultured bacterium
Lineage: Bacteria
Description: partial 16S ribosomal RNA
Rfam family: Bacterial small subunit ribosomal RNA
Source: RNAcentral